This is a non-coding RNA of Sphagnurus paluster, 94 nucleotides long. The record is from the annotation of a GenBank genome assembly. NCBI's taxonomy places the organism in Eukaryota, Fungi, Basidiomycota, Agaricomycetes, Agaricales, Lyophyllaceae.
GUCACUUUGCCGGAGUGGCUAACGGGAUCGCCUGCUACCUUAGCAUUCCAGCGGUUGUGCUUUGCACGCGAGUGUUCGAAUCGCUCAGGUGACG